RNAcentral lists this long non-coding RNA (1384 nucleotides) under Mus spicilegus (steppe mouse). RNAcentral describes it as "lncRNA (ENSMSIG00000020911.1)". The record is from RNAcentral. Lineage: Eukaryota; Metazoa; Chordata; Mammalia; Rodentia; Muridae.
CAUUGUGGAAUGUGCCCACCGCACACUCAAAUCUUAUCUUAUAAAACAGAAAGGGGGAGUUGAUGAGACUCUGCCCUCAGUGCCAAGAGUAGCGGUAUCUAUGGCACUCUUUACACUUAAUUUUUUGAAUCUCGACGAGCAGGGACACUCUGCAGCUGAGCGACAUAGCUCAGACCCUGAUAGACCAAAAGAAGUGGUCAAAUGGAAGGAUGUUUUAACUGGUCAGUGGAAAGGCCCGGAUCCUAUCUUAAUCAGAUCCCGGGGAGCUGUUUGUGUUUUUCCACAGAGUGAAGACAACCCAUUUUGGCUGCCGGAACGACUCACCCGCAGGAUAUUCAUCAAGGAUGGUGCAGAAGAUGCUGACCUCCCGAGGACUGUUCCUGAUCCUGACAAUGCUGAACUUGUCUCAGGUUCCUAGUAUAAUGGGCGAGCAGAGAUGGGCUAUUCUCUCGACUUUCCCUAAACCAAUGCCAGUUCGCCAUGAUGCUAUAGUUUUUCCAAAAUUCUUUACUACUAAUAAAACAGUGGAUUUGCCAUAUUUACCCUAUGAUCCCACCCGAGCACCAUUAGGAGAAAAUCGCUCUUUACUAGAACAGGGUUCUUUAUGUUUUCAAAUUAAUGGACCAGGAAAUUGUAUCAACCUCACAGCCCGAGCUUUGGGGAAGUUUAAUGAGCAUCGAGGAGGUUGGGUGAGCACAACCCAAGAUACUUCCAAUGUAGAUAUAACCUUUACAAAUCGGACCUUUUGGCAGGAGGUAAAUUGUGUUAAUGGUACAUUUCUACCACCUAACUUUUCAGACAAAGAACGUCCACACCAACCAAAAAUAGCCCCUCAUUGUAGUUUGGAAGAUGAAGGGCUGAUCCUGCCUUGGUCUGAUUGUCAAUCCUCCAUCACUCGUUGGGCAGAUCAGAGUAAAACCUUUUCCUUUUCUCCCAACAUGAUAGAUGACCCAGAGAAGGAAUUUGUUAUGAAAAAGGGACUUUUCAUACAGGACUUUAGAAUGCAUCCCUUUCACAAGUGGGUGCUUUGUGGAGUCAAUGGCAGUUGUACAGAACUCAAUCCUUUGAUUUUUAUCCAGGGAGGAGCAGUUGGAAAGGCUUCUUUUACUGGCAUCUCAAGAUUUGCUCAGUAUUGGGGAAUACAUGAUGCCUCCCAGGACUCUUAUGGAUAUACUAAUACCAGUGUAGAGAUCACUGGGUUCAAUAAAACUUUGGUAAACCAGAUUAAUUAUCCAUCUACCCCAGUCUGUGUUUACCCCCCUUUCUUGUUUAUUCUUUCAAAUGAUUCAUUUGAAGUCUGUUCCAAUGAUUCUUGUUGGAUUUCUCAAUGUUGGGAUGUAACAAAGAACACCCGUGCCAUGGUGGCACGGAUCCCACAUUGGAU